Molecule: long non-coding RNA, 737 nt
Filed under: Gallus gallus (chicken)
Lineage: Eukaryota; Metazoa; Chordata; Aves; Galliformes; Phasianidae
Source: RNAcentral
GGUGCUUGCAUGUCGAAUGACACUCUCGGGCACUCUGGGCUCACUCUGGAAGGCUGAUUCCUUCAUGGUAGAGCUCAUACCACUGCUAGGAGUUCUCUUCACCAAAGCCAGGCAACUGCCAUCUUCCUUGGCUCCACAGUCACAGAAGAACGAUCCGUAUUUGGCAUAAGAAAUCUCAUGAUCCUUGUGACAAACUUUAGCACAAACGGUGCAAACACCAACCCCAUCAACCAUCUUGCAAGUGUGACAGUGAUACCAAUGCUGAUUCAUGAAUUCUUUCUGUGUAAUGGUGAAGGUACAGAGCUUAUUACAAAGAGAAUCUUCAUCCGAAUCUUCAGCUUGAGAGUCCUCCUCUUCCACUGCCAACUCUUCCACCCAAUCUGAAUCCACCUCAAUUGCCCGUUCCUCGCCAUCAACAGAAAGAUGACUUGGUCCUUGUCCACUGGUCUGGCUCAGUGCAUUAGUGACAUCAGCCAGGUAAGAGACAAUAUGGCACGUACACUCCAGGAUAGUAACAUGCUUCCCCUGCAUGACGUUAGCAUUCAUUUUUUCUACGACGUUCUUUUGAGACAGGUAUUUCUUGCAUUUGCCUAGCCAAUCAACAGCAGCACCAUGAAGCUGGAGGUGUCCUGCACCUUGUCCUGCACUAGCCAAAGUCGCCAUCACAACCAUCAGUUCAGGAAAGCCUGUGCCAUCACCGUUGGCCAACAUUUCCGUCGCCAUUGGUAUCAGAGUAC